Molecule: ribosomal RNA, 253 nt
Filed under: uncultured bacterium
Lineage: Bacteria
Description: partial 16S ribosomal RNA
Rfam family: Bacterial small subunit ribosomal RNA
Source: RNAcentral
CACGUAGGGGCCAAGCGUUGUCCGGAUUUAUUGGGCGUAAAGAGCGUGUAGGCGGCCAGAAAAGUCCGCUGUGAAAACUCGAGGCUCAACUUCGAGCUGUCGGUGGAAACUUUCUGGCUAGAGUCCGGAAGAGGAGAAUGGAAUUCCUGGUGUAGCGGUGAAAUGCGCAGAUAUCAGGAAGAACACCCGUGGCGAAGGCGGUUCUCUGGGACGGUACUGACGCUGAGACGCGAAAGCGUGGGGAGCGAACAGG